GACGAACGCUGGCGGCGUGCUUAACACAUGCAAGUCGAACGGAAAGGCUCCAGCUUGCUGGAGUACUCGAGUGGCGAACGGGUGAGUAACACGUGGGUAAUCUGCCCUGCACUCUGGGAUAAGCCUGGGAAACUGGGUCUAAUACUGGAUAUGACCUUUCUCCUUAUAGGGUUUGGUGGAAAGUUUUUCGGUGUAGGAUGAGCCCGCGGCCUAUCAGCUUGUUGGUGGGGUGAUGGCCUACCAAGGCGACGACGGGUAGCCGGCCUGAGAGGGUGAUCGGCCACAUUGGGACUGAGAUACGGCCCAGACUCCUACGGGAGGCAGCAGUGGGGAAUAUUGCACAAUGGGCGGAAGCCUGAUGCAGCGACGCCGCGUGAGGGAUGACGGCCUUCGGGUUGUAAACCUCUUUCAGCAGGGACGAAGCGUAAGUGACGGUACCUGCAGAAGAAGCACCGGCUAACUAUGUG
Molecule: ribosomal RNA, 467 nt
Filed under: uncultured bacterium
Lineage: Bacteria
Description: partial 16S ribosomal RNA
Rfam family: Bacterial small subunit ribosomal RNA
Source: RNAcentral